AAUGGAAUCCAUCGUGCCCAAACGCCAAGUGCUUGACGACGACGAUGGUCUAUAUGAAAGCUCGAAAGGUCGAUCUCCCGAGAAGGCUUUGGAAGAGAUACGUAAGCAAGACACUCAUGAUCUCUAUUGCCCUAAGUGUACUAGUAACAUCACUAAAACAGCUCUAAUCGUUGAAAAGGGAGAUGAUUUUUCUCCCGACGACCAGAAACCUUUCGUGCUCUGGAUCCCUACCUUCAAGUUCCUUUCAAGUUCUCCCAAAGGAUCUGUCGAAAGUAAACCAUUGAAUCCUAAUCUCAGUGGACCAGACGAAGAAAACUCAUCUCAACCUGAAUCCAGUGAACCAGUCGACAAAAACUCAUCGUUUAAUCGUAGUCUCAGCAGUUUAGCUAAAACCUUGGAACGAUUGCCUACUCUUUUACGGAAUUCAAUAAUUAUUCGUAGAGACGAAAAUAGUGCUACUCCUCUACACCAAGAUGGUGCAGGUCAUCAAAGUUCUACGAGCACAUCAGUGUCUGAGCAACGUGGACGUUGGAAAAUUAGUCCCGGUGGAUGGAUAAUUCAUCGUUAAACGCCCAGCAAAUAGACAACGAAUUGACUAUCCUCUCUUCUUACCCCCUAAAAUGAACGAGUUUUUUGUUUGAUUGAAACCCAUAGUAAGUGAUUGAUGAUAGUGUAAUGAUCAUUUUGUACUGAGUUUAAAGCAUAGAAAUCAUUGCACUAUUACUGGA
Molecule: small RNA, 728 nt
Filed under: Arabidopsis thaliana (thale cress)
Lineage: Eukaryota; Viridiplantae; Streptophyta; Magnoliopsida; Brassicales; Brassicaceae
Description: putative long intergenic non-coding RNA
Source: RNAcentral